GACGAACGCUGGCGGCGUGCUUAACACAUGCAAGUCGAACGGAAAGGCCUCUUUCGGGGGGUACUCGAGUGGCGAACGGGUGAGUAACACGUGAGUAACCUGCCCUUUACUUUGGGAUAACUUCAGUAAACUGGGGCUAAUACCGGAUAGGAGCUCCUGCUGCCUGGUGGGGGUUGGACAGUUUGGGCGGUUUGGGUUGGACUGGCGGCUUAUCAGCUUGUUUGUGGGGUAGUGGCUUACCAACGCUUUUUCGGGUAGCCGGCCUGAGAGGGUGACCGGCGACAAAGGGAAUGAGAGACGGGCAAGAGUCCAAAGGGAGGAAGAAGGGGGGAAAAAUGAAAAAGGGGUGGAAGCCGGAUGCAGAAAAGCAGUGGGCGGGAAGACGGGCUUGGGGUUGGAAAACGAAUUCGCUCAUGAAGAAGCUUUGUGUGACGGUAGUGGGUAAAGAAGCACCGGCUAACUACGUG
Molecule: ribosomal RNA, 467 nt
Filed under: uncultured bacterium
Lineage: Bacteria
Description: partial 16S ribosomal RNA
Rfam family: Bacterial small subunit ribosomal RNA
Source: RNAcentral